This 556-nucleotide long non-coding RNA is filed under the name Selaginella moellendorffii. RNAcentral describes it as "long non-coding RNA (SMOE_LNC000777)". Lineage: Eukaryota; Viridiplantae; Streptophyta; Lycopodiopsida; Selaginellales; Selaginellaceae. The record is from RNAcentral.
CCUUGGUGGCUUCGGUGGAGACUUCUUCGGUGGCAGUGGCAGCGGUAGUGAUGGAGGUGGCGGAGAAGGCGGAGGUGGAGAUGGCGGUGGUGGAGGUGGAGGUGGAGGUGGAGAGGGAGGUGGUGGAGAAGGUGGCGGCGGCGGCGGUGGUGGCGAUUUAUUCGACUUUGGAGGAUUCUUUAGUGACGGAGGCGGUGGUGGAGGUGGAGAAGGAGGUGGCGGUGAUGGCGGUGGCGAUUUGAGUGGCUUUGGCAGCGGCGGCGAUAGCUUCUUCUCUUGCGACUGGAAGGACCUGAGGAAGGACCUGAUAGUUCUUCUCUGCACCUUUGUGAAGUUGCCGUAGAACGUCACGUAAAUGGAGAUGGUGUUGUUCUGGCCGACCAGGAUGGAUCCAUCGUGAAAUAAGAGGCCGCUGGGGCCUUUCACUCGGCCAAUCGGCUGAGCCUUGAGCUUGCUGCUAUCCCAUGGCGAGGCGGCCGCUAUCUGGACGACAGCCGGGAGUACGCAUGCCAGAUACAAGAGCAGCCUCGUCAUCCUUUUGCUGGCAUGAGAGCAU